AGUUAGAGGAGGAAGAGAGGAGGCAGAGGAGGAAGAGAGGAAGUGGAGGAAGAGAGGAGAUGGAGGAGGAAGAGAGGAAGUGGAGGAGGAAGAGAGGAGGCAGAGGAGGAAGAGAGGAAGUGGAGGAAGAGAGGAGACGGAGGAGGAAGAGAGGAAGCGGAGGAGGAAGAGAGGAAGCAGAGGAGGAAGAGAGGAAGUGGAGGAAGAGACGAGACGGAGGAGGAAGAGAGGAAGUGGAGGAGGAAGAGAGGAGGCAGAGGAGGAAAGGAGGAGAAGGAGGAGGAAGAGAGGAAGUGGAGGAAGAGAGGAGACGGAGGAGGAAGAGAGGAAGUGGAAGAAGAGAGGAAGUGGAGGA
Molecule: long non-coding RNA, 355 nt
Organism: Oncorhynchus tshawytscha (Chinook salmon)
Lineage: Eukaryota; Metazoa; Chordata; Actinopteri; Salmoniformes; Salmonidae
Source: Ensembl